UACGGGGGGAGCAAGCAUUGCUCGGAAUUACUGGGCGUAAAGGGCGCGUAGGCGGGAUGGCAAGUCGGUCGUGAAAUCCCUCGGCUCAACCGAGGAACGUCGAUCGUUACUGCUGUUCUUGAGGAUUGCAGAGGAGACUGGAAUUCCCGGUGUAGCGGUGAAAUGUGUAGAGAUCGAGAGGAACACCGAUGGCGAAGGCGGGUCUCUGGGCAAUUCCUGACGCUGAGGCGCGAAAGCAUGAGGAGCAAACGGG
This 253-nucleotide ribosomal RNA is filed under the name uncultured bacterium. Its description in RNAcentral is "partial 16S ribosomal RNA". It matches the Rfam family "Bacterial small subunit ribosomal RNA", at positions 524 to 776 of the family's 1533-position model. The record is from RNAcentral.